UACAGAGGUCUCAAGCGUUGUUCGGAUUCAUUGGGCGUAAAGGGCGCGUAGGUGGCGGGGCAAGUCAGGUGUGAAAUCUCGGGGCUCAACCCCGAAACUGCACUUGAUACUGCCUUGCUAGAGUACUGGAGAGGAGAUUGGAAUUUACGGUGUAGCAGUGAAAUGCGUAGAUAUCGUAAGGAAGACCAGUGGCGAAGGCGAAUCUCUGGACAGUUACUGACACUGAGGCUCGAAGGCCAGGGGAGCAAACGGG
Molecule: ribosomal RNA, 253 nt
Filed under: uncultured bacterium
Lineage: Bacteria
Description: partial 16S ribosomal RNA
Rfam family: Bacterial small subunit ribosomal RNA
Source: RNAcentral